Molecule: ribosomal RNA, 465 nt
Filed under: uncultured bacterium
Lineage: Bacteria
Description: partial 16S ribosomal RNA
Rfam family: Bacterial small subunit ribosomal RNA
Source: RNAcentral
GACGAACGCUGGCGGCGUGCUUAACACAUGCGAGUCGAACGGAAAGGCCCUGCUUGCAGGGUACUCGAGUGGCGAACGGGUGAGUAACACGUGGGUGAUCUGCCCUGCACUUCGGGAUAAGCCUGGGAAACUGGGUCUAAUACCGGAUAGGAGCCAUUUUUAGUGUGAUGGUUGGAAAGUUUUUUCGGUGUAGGAUGAGCUCGCGGCCUAUCAGCUUGUUGGUGGGGUAAUGGCCUACCAAGGCGGCGACGGGUAGCCGGCCUGAGAGGGUGGACGGCCACAUUGGGACUGAGAUACGGCACAGACUCCUACGGGAGGCAGCAGUGGGGAAUAUUGCACAAUGGGCGCAAGCCUGAUGCAGCGACGCCGCGUGGGGGAUGACGGCCUUCGGGUUGUAAACUCCUUUCGCUAGGGACGAAGCUUUUUGUGACGGUACCUAGAUAAGAAGCACCGGCUAACUACGUG